AAUCUAAACUCGAAAGUAAAGGUAUUUCCGGGCAUGAUUCCAUAAUCCGUCGAAGAUAAAAACCCUCUCGUUCAGGGUUCCUUCGACGGUCACAGCCGGAAACGGUUGUGUUCGGGCCGCAAGGUCCGAA
RNAcentral lists this small RNA (130 nucleotides) under unclassified sequences. Its description in RNAcentral is "LOOT RNA". It matches the Rfam family "LOOT RNA". From Rfam's summary of the family: Latescibacteria, OD1/Parcubacteria, OP11, TM7. Lineage (Microgenomates, aka OP11) The record is from Rfam by way of RNAcentral.